Caenorhabditis elegans is the source of this 182-nucleotide non-coding RNA. NCBI's taxonomy places the organism in Eukaryota, Metazoa, Nematoda, Chromadorea, Rhabditida, Rhabditidae. The record is from Ensembl.
UUUCUUCGGUGGGCUCCUUCGGACUUUGCCUCAGGGGACUUUGGGACAAAAACGGAAUAUGAAUUCAGAGAGACACGACCGGGGGACCAGUAGUAAGAGUUUUUCUUUUCUACUUAAAUUUUGAGAAGAGGGGGAGGGGGAGAAGUAUGUUGCACUCAAUUUAUUACAUUUUUGCAUAUUCC